AUUGAACGCUGGCGGCAGGCCUAACACAUGCAAGUCGAGCGAGCGGCGGACGGGUGAGUAAUGUCUGGGAAACUGCCUGAUGGAGGGGGAUAACUACUGGAAACGGUAGCUAAUACCGCAUACCAUCAGAUGUGCCCAGCGGGGAUUAGCUAGUAGGUGGGGUAACGGCUCACCUAGGCGGCGAUGCCUAGCUGGUCUGAGAGGAUGACCAGCAAAACUGGAACAGAGAGACGGUCCAGACUCCGACGUGAGGCAGCAGUGGGGAAUAUUGCACAAUGGGGGCAAGCCUGAUGCAGCAAUGCCGCGUGUGUGAAGAAGGCCUUCGGGUUGUAAAGCACUGUCAGCGGGGAGGCGUUACCCGCAGAAGAAGCACCGGCUAACUCCGUGCCAGCAGCCGCGGUAAUUC
This 406-nucleotide ribosomal RNA is filed under the name uncultured bacterium. Its description in RNAcentral is "partial 16S ribosomal RNA". It matches the Rfam family "Bacterial small subunit ribosomal RNA", at positions 29 to 526 of the family's 1533-position model. The record is from RNAcentral.